Molecule: long non-coding RNA, 3909 nt
Organism: Panicum virgatum (switchgrass)
Lineage: Eukaryota; Viridiplantae; Streptophyta; Magnoliopsida; Poales; Poaceae
Exons: 2
Source: RefSeq, a predicted model, not a curated record
UGGACUCUUCCAGAUUUCCUCCCCCGCGGGGCGGCGCGGCGGGGAUUUACCGUGGGCUGAAUUCAGGCCGGCCCAAUGGCUGAGCCUGUUGGGCCUACUCCGACGGAUCGAAACGCGGCCGGCCACGAAGCGGCUCUCUCGUCGCCGGCCGCCGCUCUCCUCCGUCGCUCAUUCCUCGGUCGUACCGUCGCCGCUUCCUCCAAAGUCCAAACCCUACGACGAGCGACGGCGUCUUCCUCCGCCCACCCGUCACCUCCCAUGCCGCCUCCACCUCCUCUCUUACGGAGGAGAUCGCCGUGGCUUCCAUGUCCUCGCUCUCCGCGGCAUCGCCGCUUUAGGGGGGCGACCUAGUCACUGCCUGCCCACGGCGUGCUCCGCCGCGCCCAGGCCGCUGACCGCCGUCCCCGACGUCUAGCGCGCGGCGUCGAUCUGGCCGCCGACGUGGUCCUCAGUGACCUCUACGGUCGGGCUCGCAUUUCGGCCGCAUCUCAAGCCCGGUGCCUGACGGCGGACCCCUUUCCACGUCCGGUUUGAUACUCUGAUCUGCCAACCGAUUGCAUGAUUAGUGGUGUUUGGAGAUUGCGGGAUUUUGGAAAAUGCCAAACUCUGAUUCUGCUGUGUGCCUGCCAAGCUUUUAAGUUUGUCGGGGGCUGCUCAUAAUUCAACAUUCUAGGUAAUUUCUGGUGCUUAUUUGAUAGUAUGGCUGUUGUGCUUAUUUGCCUUGUAUAUCUGUUAGCAGCUCCUUUUCAUGUCAUCAACUCAUGAUGCCGACAUAUUUCGUGUAGAUGCUCUGUUUGCCUCAUUAAUUCCUACAUCCCACAGGCCAAACCUUUAUUUUGUUUGAACCUUGCUCAUAUACUAAAACAGAAUAUGUGGAACAAACCUCUGUGUAAUAUCUACCGGAACAAUCAUUUGCAGGUUCUUCCUUAUAUCUAUAGGGAACUAACGUUUCUCUUAACUAAUCUUAUCGAUGGUACCGAUAAAUAGUGUUGAAAAUUUGGAAUUUCGUGUCUAUGUAAAUUUCUAGAGAUUUUUUUUUGAACCUUGCUUAACUUGGGUAACAAAAUUAGUGUUCAAAACUGCUUAACUUGGGUAACAAAAUUAGAAUUGUUCUAUGCAACAUGAUCAGCAAAACACAGGCCAGUGUCGCUGACACAAAUAUCUAGCCUAUGGAUUUAGGCUGGUGCCGAUGUGCUGUACAACAAUCUUCCUUGACACUGCCCUUAACCUCGUCUCUCUUGGAUAUACCUAUUGCCGCGUCAAAAUUUUCUAUCGCAUAUUACGAGGUUCUAUUCUUUGUUCUUAGUGCUUAUACAUUUAGUGGGUGGUUAGUUUAACUUCUUUACGUUGAUCAUGAUAUUUAUGACUGCAAGAUUUUGGGGGGCAUGUUUAUGGUCGAUAUGGAAAUAGUCAAGCAUUCGGUCAUAAUGCAUCAUGUUGUAUGUCCCAAUAAUUAUUGCUCCUUAAUGCUUUACCCGGCAUUUGAUAUGCUUAUUACUUUUUAAUUAGAUAUCACUAAACAAGCCUUCUCACUGUUGAGCUCCUGGAAUUCCUUUUAUCACUUUAAUUUUUUUCAUUGUUUAGUGUUGGUGAUUCAAUAUGUUACAUGCCUGCUAUUGCUGCCACUAUGUGCCACGACGCUUCUCUCCAUGUGAGACUUGUUGCAGGAUGCAAAGCAACAUCUAGGUGCCUAGGGUUGUGAAAUUUUUCAGUAUUUCUCAUUUAGCUCAGUUUCAACCUAUCAUUUAGUUACUCCCAUACCUUCCCUAGCUAAGUUUGCUAGAUCCAUUUGUAAAUCAUGGGAUGAUAUUUCUCAGAGGAAGAAAACAAAAGGAAUCAACCAACAUUCUUAUCACCCUCUUUCUGUCACAUUUAUGUUGUUUCUCUCCAGCCAAGCUGUCCUAUUCCUGUUCCAUAUUUUGUGCAAUCCUACCCCCUUCAUCCCAACCCCAGCUGCAGGAUGAAAGGGGCAUGGCUAUUAAACUGUGCCUAUCUUCCUAGUGUGUUCUCUGUCGCGGGCUCAUAAAAUAUGCAAUAGAUUAAGUAAUGGAAUGAAGUAAACUGGAGAAAUAUUCUUUUUUUUCAAAAGGUUGGAUCUUCUGAGUACAUAUCCCAAUUCUCUUUUUGCCAAAAGAAUGUACGUCCCACCGGGAUUCGAACCCAGGUUGCCAGAUUCAAAGUUUGGAGCGAUAACCACUACACCAUGGAGCCGUUUUAUGUAUUUUCUCCCUAGAUAAUAUAUUUAUGAUAACACGUCCCCGUAGCACCAUAUUGUUUUUUUUUUCUGUUAGCCGUUCCCAAUAAAUCGCAAGGAAUAGGCUGAUUUAUGUAGUUUAACUGAUGCACAUUGCUGCUUUAUUGAGUGCUAUUUAGGAAACAAAUUUGACAGAAGGGAUAGUCUCUCCAAUUCAACAUUUUUUUUAUUUUUAAACCAUUCAUUGCCAUAUCUGCAGUCAGACUGUUGAGCUUUGACAUGAACUUGUGCUUGCCUCCAUUUUCAGCAUCUUUUUUUUGUUGUGCCAGCUACUGGGUUUUACUAUACCUGAUUCUUUCCUCUUUCUGAGUCUAAAGAGAUUAUGGAGCUGUUAAUGAUGCACGACUUUGUCAAUUGUUUGUACCAUGUCAAUAGACUGAUUAAGAAAUAAAAUAUCUUAUUCUUUACUUGAGUGAGACAUAUUUGCAAUUCAUUGAGAAAUGUAUGGUGUGUCAACUUCUAGUGCAAAUCGGUAAUAUAUUGAAAGUCAUGUGGGAAAUAGCACCAGUCAAUGUUGUAUAAUUAUCCAGCUUGCUUAUCGCCUUCUCACUCUCAACUAUGUUGUUUCUCUCCAGCCGAGCUGCCCUCUUGUUCGAUUAUGUGCGCAACUCCUAUCACCUCCAUCAUAAUCCUGGCUGUAGGAUAGAAUGUCACAAAUAUUUGCUGAUCAACAUCCCGCUUUUCCUACCACAUUCUCUAUCCCAAACACCUUUUCCUACCACAUUCUCUAUCCCAAACACAUUAAGCAUGCAAUGGAUUAAACAUUGGAGGAAAUGAUGAAAUUUUUUCUGAAUGUAUUAAGGGGCCGUUUGGGAGGGUUUCUCCGAAACAGCUUCACUAGUGAAACAAAAAAAAAAAAAACUGGAUUCACCCGGCUUCUAGUCCAUUUUACCCUGAGCUAACAAAACGGCUUUACACUACAGAUCCUCGAUUUGCACAAAAUAGGUGAAGCCGAAGUUUGGAUAAGCUCUCCCAAACAGCCCCUAAAGUAAACCUGGAAAAGUUAAUUGGUUUUUCCAAAAGUUUGGAUCUUCUGAGCUCCUUUUUACGAAAGCUAAUUGGGUUUCCAAAAGUUUGGAUGAUUGGAUAUUUUGAAUGGCAUAUCACAAAUUCCCCUUUGAUGUAAAAAGGGUAGGUCCCACCGGGAUUCGAACCCAGGUUGCCAGAUUCAAAGUCUGGAGUGAUAACCACUACAUCAUGGAACCAUUUUAUGUGUUUUCUCCCUAGACAAUAUAUUUAUGAUAGCAUGCCCCAUAGCACUAUAUUGUUUUUCUUCUGUUAGCCGUUCCCAAUAAAUUGCAAGGAAUAAGCUAAUUUCUAUAGUUUAACUGAUGCAUCUUACUGCGUUAUUGAGUGCUAUUUAGGAAUUGAAUUUGACUGAAUGGAUAAUUUCUCUUCAAUUCAACAUUUUUUUAUUUUUUUUAAAAAUCAUUCAUUGCCAUAUCUGCAGUAGACUGUUGAGUUUUGGCAUGAACUUGCGUUUGCCUCCGUUUUCAGCAAUUUUUUUGGUUAUGGCAGCUACUGGGUUUUAUUAUACCUGAUUCUUUCCUGUUUCUGGGUCUAAAGAGAUUAUGGGGCUGUUACUGAUGCACGACUUUGUCAAUUGUUUGUACCAUGUCAAUAGACUGAUUAAGAAAUACAAUAUCUUGGCUUGA